UGUUUUCUCCUCCUGUAAUAAAGCAGAGACACCAUUGGGUCCAGAGCUGCUUUUUAGAGUUGCUGCAGGUGUUGCAGGCCUCCACACCACUGAAGUAAGACAGAGAGCUAUGAGGCAACUAGGAGCCAUGAAUUCCACAACUCAAGACCUGCUGCGCACCUUAUGGGAGUGGACUCUGAUUUAAAUGCUAUACAUUGCUUUUUGGAUAUGUGCCAUGCUCUCCUCAUUUUCUUCAAAUAGAUUCUUUUCUUAUCUAAUACUUCUCAACCUUCCCCUCUUUCUA
Non-coding RNA from Rattus norvegicus (Norway rat), 283 nucleotides. NCBI's taxonomy places the organism in Eukaryota, Metazoa, Chordata, Mammalia, Rodentia, Muridae. The record is from Rfam.